This 260-nucleotide long non-coding RNA is filed under the name Gallus gallus (chicken). Lineage: Eukaryota; Metazoa; Chordata; Aves; Galliformes; Phasianidae. The record is from RNAcentral.
GGGAAGUGUCGCUGUCUUGAGGUGAGCGCGGCUCUGCAACGUUGAUACUGGGUAACUGAUGGACAGCUAAGUAUCUUGGAUCUGGUGAAGACGAUGGUUUUGUUAAUAUUGAUUUGGGGACAGUCAUAACCGGCUUUGACGUUUCCUGCUUUGAUUCUCCCACUGAAACUUUCUCAGAUGCAGGACCAGAACGUGGGGCUGUUGCUGCAGCAGCAGAGGCGCUGCCCAAGGCUGUCCUCGGGUCUCUACCAGAAACUGUC